This 344-nucleotide long non-coding RNA is filed under the name Theobroma cacao (cacao). RNAcentral describes it as "long non-coding RNA (TCAC_LNC003075)". The record is from RNAcentral. Lineage: Eukaryota; Viridiplantae; Streptophyta; Magnoliopsida; Malvales; Malvaceae.
AACUUGGCCCCUACUAGAAUCAUUCUCGCGGGUACCUUCGUCAAGGUAUCCCACUGAGACCGCCAAGGCUGUUCAAUGACCCAUACCCAUAAACAUGUUUUCACAUCUGACACACAGCCGUUCCUUGGCGUUGGCUGAGUCUCACUCUCACGUGGUGGCCCGAACGUGAGGUGCACUCAAAUCAUACCUCAGGAGAUACUUCACCCAACAUCUCCCCCUGGAGGUAAGUAUAUAAUUGAGUUACCGUGCCCCUCUCAUAGGCAGUCCACGGAAACCCCCACCACUGCAGUGACCGUUUAAUAUACCACCAGACCCAUAAAAAUUCCAGUAGCAUACUAUGGNNN